Long non-coding RNA from Sapajus apella (tufted capuchin), 742 nucleotides. RefSeq lists it as uncharacterized. Lineage: Eukaryota; Metazoa; Chordata; Mammalia; Primates; Cebidae. The record is from RefSeq and is a predicted model, not a curated record. The transcript has 2 exons.
CCGACCUCAAGGCCUGCCUUGGCCUCUGAAAGUGCUGGGAUUACAGGUGUGAGCCACCGUACCCAGCCCAUAACCCCAGCUUCUGAUAGUCCCAACAUUGCUACAGCGUCUAAGAAGCACGACAGAUAUUUUCAAUCAACCAAUCAAGAAGUACUUAUGGAGCAUGAGCAGCUGCUGUCAGGAUCCAGCCAGAAGUAGUUGAGGCAUUGGACAGAAAGAACUGUAAGCUAGUUGGUUAUUAAACUCUUCUCCCUUGCUGGUUUAUAAGGAUAUCUCUGAUUUUCCUUACCAAGGUAGGUCUCUAUUUUAAAAAUCUUUUUGCGUGGAACAAAAGAUGAAGCUCCCAUAGCAUAGUCCUGAAAGGGAAACAGACCUACCAAAAUCUAUUACUAUGCUUUAUGGUUUGUGUCCAUAUUUUGUUUUCCUCUUUCCUACUCUCCUUGGCAUGUAUAUUACUACAUUUAUUCAGGUGAGUGUAAACCAAGUAACUAGAGCAAGACUCCCUUUAGCCAAAGGGGGUAGGAAGCCCAGCUCCUAUAAUAAAUGUUUUUAAUCAUCCAACAUUAAGAAUUUGAAAGGAUUUUAUAAUGUGUCCAACUCCUCAAUUUACAGAUGAGAAACAGAGGCCCAAAGGGUUAGUAAUCUGACCACGGCACUGAAGAUGAAAUGUUAAAUGCCUGUGAUGUCAGCACCUAUUUAUCAAACACAUCAGAAGUUAUAGUUGAAAUUCAUUUUGGGUUAU